Molecule: long non-coding RNA, 505 nt
Organism: Brassica oleracea var. oleracea
Lineage: Eukaryota; Viridiplantae; Streptophyta; Magnoliopsida; Brassicales; Brassicaceae
Exons: 4
Source: RefSeq, a predicted model, not a curated record
GUCUUCAAAAGUGAGACUCUAAGUUUUGACACAUGGCGAUCAAAGUUCAUGUUCUCUGAAUUGUACUCAGGUCUAAGCUUUACAUAGAACAAACAAUCAGUGCAUUUUUUUUUGGUUUAAAAACAAUCAGCGCAUUGUUGCAUUGAGUCUAUACUCUACAGCACAUCAUCAAAAAGAAAAAGAUUACGUUUUACCCAUCCAUGUGCAACAAAAAUUACGUUCUUUACAUAUUUGCUAUAAAUGGAGAGAACAAAUGUGAAAAGAGAUCAUGAAUUUGAGUGUAACCAAAGAGCUAUGAUGCAGGUUGAAGAUGUUACCGGAAUAUAUUGCUAUUUCCCAGCUCAAUUAAUUUCAAAAAAUGAAAAAUUAGAGUACUGGUCUCUCGGAUUUUUGGAUGAAAAGAAACCGGUCGAUGAGGGACACGUAUAGGAAGAAAAGUCCGGUUUUGGUGACCGAGAGGGGGUGACGUGUACGGUUGGAGAUGUGUUAGUUGGGUGGCGGGAGA